GACGAACGCUGGCGGCGUGCCUAAUACAUGCAAGUCGAGCGGACAGACGGGAGCUUGCUCCCUGAUGUUAGCGGCGGACGGGUGAGUAACACGUGGGUAACCUGCCUGUAAGACUGGGAUAACUCCUGGAAACCGGGGCUAAUACCGGAUGGUUGUCUGAACCGAAUUGUUCCGACAUAAAAGGUGGCUUUGGCUACCACUUACAGAUGGGCCCGCGGCGCAUUAGCUAGUUGGUGAGGUAACGGCUCACCAAGGCAACGAUGCGUAGCCGACCUGGGAGGGUGAUCGGCCACACUGGGACUGAGACACGGCCCAGCCUCAUACGGGCGGGAGCAGUAGGGAAUCUUCCGCAAUGGACGAAAGUCUGACGGAGCAACGCCGCGUGAGUGAUGAAGGGUGUCGGAUCGGAAAGCUCUGUUGUUAGGGAAGAACAAGCGCCGUUCAAAUAGGGCGGCACCUUGACGGUACCUAACCAGAAAGCCACGGCUAACUACGUG
Molecule: ribosomal RNA, 497 nt
Filed under: uncultured bacterium
Lineage: Bacteria
Description: partial 16S ribosomal RNA
Rfam family: Bacterial small subunit ribosomal RNA
Source: RNAcentral